GACGAACGCUGGCGGCGUGCUUAACACAUGCAAGUCGAACGGAAAGGCCCCUUUGGGGGUACUCGAGUGGCGAACGGGUGAGUAACACGUGAGUAACCUGCCCUUGACUUCGGGAUAACUUCAGGAAACUGGGGCUAAUACCGGAUAGGAAUCCUUGCUGCAUGGUGGGGGUUGGAAAGCUUCGGCGGUUUUGGAUGGACUCGCGGCUUAUCAGCUUGUUGGUGGGGUAGUGGCUUACCAAGGCUUUGACGGGUAGCCGGCCUGAGUGGGCGACCGGCCACAUUGGGACUGAGAUACGGCCCAGACUCCUACGGGAGGCAGCAGUGGGGAAGAUUGAACAAGGGGCGGAAGCCUGAUGCAGCAACGCCGCGUGCGGGAGGACGGCCUUCGGGUUGUAAACCGCUUUCAGCAGGGGCGAAGCUUGUGGUGACGGUACCUGCAGAAGAAGCACCGGCUAACUACGUG
This 465-nucleotide ribosomal RNA is filed under the name uncultured bacterium. RNAcentral describes it as "partial 16S ribosomal RNA". It matches the Rfam family "Bacterial small subunit ribosomal RNA", at positions 28 to 507 of the family's 1533-position model. The record is from RNAcentral.